CUUUAUUACACAUUGACACUGGUUAAUUUUUCUUGCAGGUGGUGGGCGAUGAUGAUGAACAGUUCUUCCAUGUGCAAAUUCGCAACCAAGAGAGAGUGUUAGGAGAACCAAGGUGAAGAAUGUGAGGAUAUGGUUCACCUAACACUAUCAACUUGUGACUUGAUGGUAUUGAUGUUGACACAAUAAGGUCUUCCCACGUUUUUGGCAGAGGCAUGGUCUUUCCUUCUUAUGUAGACUUACCCUCUACCAUUUUAAGUAGAAGAGCUCUCGGUUUUUCCUCCCAGCUGAAAGUGAGCUCUCGGUUUUUAGCAAAGGGUGGUGGUUCUUCAUUGGUUUUCCCCUCUCUCUUGGAAGGUAAUUAGCAAGUCAUGGAAGGCUGUUCCUGAGCCUGAAAAACAGCCAUUAGAAGGGAAGAAAGCUGCUGCAAGGAAGGAGAAAAUCUGUCCAGACUUCCGGCCGAACACAGGUUGUAUUUUUCCAUCCCCUUUUUCAUUGUUUUGCCUUGAAUCUUG
This 512-nucleotide long non-coding RNA is filed under the name Olea europaea subsp. europaea. The record is from RNAcentral. Lineage: Eukaryota; Viridiplantae; Streptophyta; Magnoliopsida; Lamiales; Oleaceae.